CGCGGCCUAUCAGCUUGUUGGUGGGGUAACGGCCCACCAAGGCAUCGACGGGUAGCUGGUCUGAGAGGACGAUCAGCCACACUGGGACUGAGACACGGCCCAGACUCCUACGGGAGGCAGCAGUGGGGAAUAUUGCGCAAUGGGCGAAAGCCUGACGCAGCAACGCCGCGUGGGGGAUGACGGCCUUCGGGUUGUAAACCCCUUUCAGCAGGGACGAAAAUGACGGUACCUGCAGAAGAAGCCCCGGCCAACUACGUGCCAGCAGCCGCGGUAACACGUAGGGGGCAAGCGUUGUCCGGAUUUAUUGGGCGUAAAGAGCUCGUAGGCGGUUGCGUAAGCCGGAUGUGAAAACUCAGGGCUCAACCCGGAGACGCCGUCCGAUACUGCGCUGACUAGAGUCCGGUAGGGGAGCAUGGAAUUCCUGGUGUAGCGGUGAAAUGCGCAGAUAUCAGGAGGAACACCAGUGGCGAAGGCGGUGCUCUGGGCCGGUACUGACGCUGAGGAGCGAAAGCGUGGGUAGCGAACAGGAUUAGAUACCCUGGUAGUCCACGCCGUAAACGUUGGGCACUAGGUGUGGGGCCUACUUAACGGGUUCCGUGCCGUAGCUAACGCAUUAAGUGCCCCGCCUGGGGAGUACGG
RNAcentral lists this ribosomal RNA (639 nucleotides) under uncultured Actinomycetes bacterium. Its description in RNAcentral is "bacterial SSU rRNA". It matches the Rfam family "Bacterial small subunit ribosomal RNA", at positions 232 to 885 of the family's 1533-position model. Lineage: Bacteria; Bacillati; Actinomycetota; Actinomycetes. The record is from RNAcentral.